Long non-coding RNA from Plutella xylostella (diamondback moth), 965 nucleotides. RefSeq lists it as uncharacterized. The record is from RefSeq and is a predicted model, not a curated record. Lineage: Eukaryota; Metazoa; Arthropoda; Insecta; Lepidoptera; Plutellidae.
CGUGUGGACACUGAAACUGGGAUUCAUUUAAUAUUUAAAUGUAUGGGCGGUUCCUCUGAAUAAUGCAGAUUUAAUUUCAUGUAAGCUGGUGCGUCCUUUUAAAUUAAAUUAAUCCCUGUUAUGGGAAUAAAAUAUGAAAACAUUUCAUUACUUCAGCAGGUAUCGACCAACCGUUGCGGUUCGUAAAAAAUCUGGAUAGGUAAGCACUUAUAGGCGCGUGUUUUCCUUAUAACCGUGGCAUGUCAUAUAAAAGGCGCCAAACUUGAGAACUACUUUCAGUUACUGUCCAUUAUUCGAGGAGCCUAGCCAACAUGCGGUCGGGAUUCGUGUUAGUUCUUGUGACUAUCGCCAUAAUUCUUCAAUGGUCUUCUGUCGAAUGUCACCCGCCGCUUCAAGCCGUCACUACGACCAGUCGACCACCCUGGACUACUAGGAUUAAGAAUGGAGUGGGUCGGUUUCUCGAAGGGGCGGCCGUCGUGAGUGCAGUGCAGAACGCGUAUCAUAGUGGCAAGUCUGGCAGACCGAAGUCCUAUCCAGAUGUGCCGUUGAAGAAACAUUAGCAUAGUAUAAUUUAUGAUAUUUCUUAAAUAGUAUUUACUUGAAGAUAUAACUUGUAGAGAAAUGUCUGACUGGUGAAGUGUACCUAGGAAGAAAGAAGUUGUUAAAGGAUAUACCUACCUACCUUAUAAUAAAAUGUAAUGUUAUAGUAUGCAGUUAAGUCAAUAUUACUUAUAAAUAACUAAUCGUGAUCAAUCAAUCACCAUUCUUCAGACUUUUAUUUCUUACUUAGGUACAACAGUUGUUACAACUAAACAUUUCAUAACCGAUUACAUAACUUCCUGCUUAUUUUCACAAACAUAUUUUCUUUUCUAACACGAAAUAAACAAAUACCGAACGUUCUUUCAAGCGAAAACAUAAAUAUUGUUAUAAAAAUAAAAAAGACGUCUAAGUGCUGGUUGGACGGA